UGUUGUUUCAUCUUUGCACAAGAUUUCUUGGCAAAUCCUUCAUGGUAUUAGGGCCUUGCUUGUUGCAGGUGAAAUGCACUCUCAUUAUAUGAAAAUUGUGAUUUCAAAUGAAGAUUUGAAGACUACAAAUUCAACUCUGAGGUUCAUUUUUUCAUCAUUGAUCUACAAAUUUUGAGAAAAUUUCGUCAUGAACUGCAAUAAGUUGCAAUUAUUUACAGCCGAUCUUGAAUUACUUGAUUAAAUUUGCAACAUCUUUCAUCCUUUUUGCAUCAAUUCGCUGGUAUUUGAAGCAACCUGCCUUAAUUUAUAGAGAUUUGGCUCAAAUUCAGUGAUCUACAAGAAUCUUGUUUCAUCGAUUUGGUUUUACAUGCUACCUUUAUCUGCUUUUCCUUUGCUAAAUUUUGUGCUGGCAUGGUUCUUCCUUGGCACAGGGGAAUCAAGUCUCUUUUAUUUUAAUUAAAAAAAAAAGACUUAUCACAUUUUGCCUUUGCCUGGCACAAAAACUGAAAUUAAUUAUGCCGCAUAAUUGACUUUUCUUCUUCCCUGGCGCAAAUUCUGAUAAAUCUUCACUCUGUGUUUCUGCAAAUUUUAGUAAUUCUUUUGGCGAACAGCAUCUGCAAGUAUUUUCGGCCUCCACUCUGUAGAACAUGGAGCAAAGAAUAUGGAGAAUAAGGCGUUGAUUUCUGACUGCUAUUUUGUUAUAUAAGAAGGCAUUUUAUUGAGUAUUUCGCAGAUGUUUUUCAGCCAAAUCUGCAAUCAGCUUGGAGUUGGAAAUUUCUUCCUGUGGCAUUGAAGUUUAUAAAAAAAUUUGCUAUUUUUUCCAGCAAGCAUUUCAACAUACAGGCACAUUUGGUUUUCUCGUAAGACAUUUUCAGGAGACUCAUUGACAUAAAUAAAAUAUUUUUCAGUAGGAGUGGAAUAUUUUGACGUCUAAACUAUUUUUUGAAAAUUCAUACGAGAUUAAAUGGACAAGCAAAAAGGCAUUCAAUUAUUGAGAGUAGAAAAUUAAAUUUGAAAAUUCAAAUCACUUUAAAUAUUUGUUUUUAUUUUGAAUUGUCUUUGCCUUUAGUUCGUGCAUAAAAGUUUUGGCAUUGACAUAAGUCCUUCAUUGUAAAGAGGAGUGUGAAACUAUUUUCCCUUCCUCAAACUUGCAAAAGCAAAUUUGCAUUUUUCUUUUACGUUAUUUUGUAAAACUUAUAAUGCACUACAUUAUAAAGUGUCAGAGGAGGGGAGGAUUUCUAUUGAAUCAAGGGGAAAGUUUAUGUGUUGAA
Long non-coding RNA from Cryptomeria japonica (Japanese cedar), 1271 nucleotides. RefSeq lists it as uncharacterized. The transcript is spliced from 4 exons. The record is from RefSeq and is a predicted model, not a curated record. Lineage: Eukaryota; Viridiplantae; Streptophyta; Pinopsida; Cupressales; Cupressaceae.